Prosopis cineraria is the source of this 617-nucleotide RNA transcript. RefSeq lists it as uncharacterized. The record is from RefSeq and is a predicted model, not a curated record. NCBI's taxonomy places the organism in Eukaryota, Viridiplantae, Streptophyta, Magnoliopsida, Fabales, Fabaceae. The transcript is spliced from 3 exons.
GAAAGGUCUUCUUCUUCCUUCGUUGUGGUGUCGCAUGGAAGCAUUUAAAUUCAUUUUGCUCUUCCCUGAUUCAUGUUGCCAAAUGCUCACCAUUGCGAGUCAUGAUAAAGCUUAUCUGAUCACCAUUCUUCGACGUCAAUGGUGAUGUAGGUUAUAAAAAAUCAUCGCCUUCCCUUUAUCCUUCGCACCUUCUUCUCUAUUCGUUCCUUUGUUGUGGGUGUCAUCGUCAGAGCUUCUCUUUCGUGUUAGAGUCGUGAACGUUUCUGGCCGUUCCUCCUCCGAGUGCAACAGCGCCGAACAUCUUCUUUCCUCUUCUCUGCUGUCUUUGAUUGUGGGAUGGCCUCCUAGAGUUGAAGAAACUCAAAGUAUGCAAAUGUGAGGAAUGGGAGGGAAUGUUUUGUGAAGAAUCACUUAAGAACUUUUCACCAUCAUCAUCAUCUUCUUCUUCUAAUGUCUGCUUCCCCAAACUUAAGGAGAUUCAGAUAUGGCAUUGCAACAAGAUGAAAAGGCUAGUUGAUGGAGAUGGUGAUGAAGAAGCCCAACAUGGGGAUCGGCCACUGCUUCUCAAACUGAAGGAAUUAACUCUGGCAAAGUUGCCAAAAUGAGACACAUUUUUG